RNAcentral lists this ribosomal RNA (292 nucleotides) under uncultured bacterium. Its description in RNAcentral is "partial 16S ribosomal RNA". The record is from RNAcentral.
GGACUACCAGGGUUUCUAAUCCUGUUUGAUCCCCACGCUGUCGCGCCUGAGCGUCAGUUACGAGCCAGUGAGCCGCCUUCGCCACCGGUGUUCUUCCCAAUAUCUACGAAUUUCACCUCUACACUGGGAAUUCCACUCACCUCUCUCGUACUCCAGUCCAACAGUUUCAAUGGCAAUUCCGGAGUUGAGCUCCGGGCUUUCACCACUGACUUGAAGAACAGCCUGCGCGCGCUUUACGCCCAGUAAUUCCGAACAACGCUAGCCCCCUUCGUAUUACCGCGGCGGCUGGCAC